Molecule: long non-coding RNA, 376 nt
Filed under: Gossypium raimondii (Peruvian cotton)
Lineage: Eukaryota; Viridiplantae; Streptophyta; Magnoliopsida; Malvales; Malvaceae
Description: long non-coding RNA (GRAI_LNC001660)
Source: RNAcentral
GUAAAAGUUUAGGGGGAAAAUAAAAUGUUUUGGGGAAUAAAAGCUUGAGGGAAAGUAAAUAAGGGGGAGUAAAAUUUUGGAGGGAAAAUAUUAAAAAAAAAUUGGAGGGGGGAGGGUUUGGGGUAGAUGGGAGGUGGGAUGGGAAGAGAAUAAAAGUUUUAGGGGAAAAGUGGGAGGGAGUAAAAAUUUUGGGGGAAAAUAAAAGGUUUUGAGGGUUUUUGGGAGUAAAAUUUUGAGAAAUAGUAAAUGAAAGAGUAAAAUUUUGGUGGGAAAUGAAUUUUGGGUAGAUUGGAGGGUUGGGAGGGGAGGGGAUUAAAAGUUUUGGGGGGAAAAUGGGAAGGAGUAAAAAGUUUUUGAGGGAAAACUAAAAAAGUUU